GUCUUGGGUGAAUCGACGUAGUCGUUGUCACUUGGGCGUAGCUUUGGGAUCUACGUUUAGUGAGUGCUCGAUCAACUCCCUGGGCACCCCCGGCAUAUCAGAUGGUUUCCAUGCAAAAAUAUCUCAGUUGUCCUGGAGGAAGUUAACAAGCAUGUCUUCCUAUUUAAGGUCUAGCCCUAAACCAAUCAGAGCUAUCUUGGAGCUAUCGCACGUCUCGAGGUCAAUAGCUUUGAUAUCAACUUCACCUGCCGCCUUGACCUUGGUUGCC
This 268-nucleotide long non-coding RNA is filed under the name Setaria viridis. RNAcentral describes it as "long non-coding RNA (SVIR_LNC003104)". The record is from RNAcentral. Lineage: Eukaryota; Viridiplantae; Streptophyta; Magnoliopsida; Poales; Poaceae.